UCCGUAGGUGAACCUGCGGAGGGAUCAUUACCGAGUUUACAACUCCCAAACCCCUGUGAACAUACCACUUGUUGCCUCGGCGGAUCAGCCCGCUCCCGGUAAAACGGGACGGCCCGCCAGAGGACCCCUAAACUCUGUUUCUAUAUGUAACUUCUGAGUAAAACCAUAAAUAAAUCAAAACUUUCAACAACGGAUCUCUUGGUUCUGGCAUCGAUGAAGAACGCAGCAAAAUGCGAUAAGUAAUGUGAAUUGCAGAAUUCAGUGAAUCAUCGAAUCUUUGAACGCACAUUGCGCCCGCCAGUAUUCUGGCGGGCAUGCCUGUUCGAGCGUCAUUUCAACCCUCAAGCACAGCUUGGUGUUGGGACUCGCGUUAAUUCGCGUUCCUCAAAUUGAUUGGCGGUCACGUCGAGCUUCCAUAGCGUAGUAGUAAAACCCUCGUUACUGGUAAUCGUCGCGGCCACGCCGUUAAACCCCAACUUCUGAAUGUUACCUCGGAUCAGGUAUCCGUAGCCGAAGCCCUCAG
RNAcentral lists this ribosomal RNA (523 nucleotides) under Fusarium oxysporum. Its description in RNAcentral is "eukaryotic LSU rRNA". The stretch from base 179 to 332 matches the Rfam family "5.8S ribosomal RNA". The record is from RNAcentral. Lineage: Eukaryota; Fungi; Ascomycota; Sordariomycetes; Hypocreales; Nectriaceae.